Molecule: small nuclear RNA, 104 nt
Filed under: Propithecus coquereli (Coquerel's sifaka)
Lineage: Eukaryota; Metazoa; Chordata; Mammalia; Primates; Indriidae
Source: RNAcentral
GUGCUCUUUUCGGCAGCACACAUACUAAAGUUGGAACGAUACAGAGAUAAGCAUGGCCCCUGCGCAAGGAUGACACAAUAUAAAAAAUUAAAAUGCCCAGAGAU